Molecule: microRNA precursor, 227 nt
Filed under: Paramuricea clavata
Lineage: Eukaryota; Metazoa; Cnidaria; Anthozoa; Malacalcyonacea; Plexauridae
Source: RNAcentral
UGCAUUUUUUGGUAAGACGAUGUUAACAAAAGUUGUUCGUCUUGAUGAGGGCUACAACUUUGCUUAAUAUCCUUUUAACAAAUUAUGCGUAUUUAAGAAGAUAGGUCCGCGCAUGCGCAGAACGUAACUCCUUACGCUUGCGUUUUUUGGUAAGACGAUGUUAACAAAAGUUGUUCGUCUUGAUGAGGGCUACAACUUUGCUUAAUAUCCUUUUAACAAAUUAUGCG